CGGCUCGCUCCGGCGCGCGGGGUCUGGAGCUAGUUGGAGCGCGGGGGUUGAUGCUGGAGCCCAGCUCCGCGGAGCCCGGCGGGUCGGCCGCGCAUCCAGCGGCUGUUGGAGCAGCCGGAGCGCAGCGGGCCCGACAGGAGUCGGAGACUGUGACGGAGUGCUGAGCCCAUACCCGGGAUCCUUGCUGUUCGUCCAUCCCAUUCCCAGACCGGCCGCCAGCCCUCGGAUUCGUCCCUGUGGUCACACAGCCCCGAGCCCAGGGCCGCGGGGAGCCCAGCACCUGCGCGUGCUGCCGGGAGGUGACCUGACAUCUAAUGUCAACUUAUCCAAAGGAUUUGGGAGUCCAGACUUUGAACGGAGAAGACUAGGAUUCGACUUCCUUAGCUGAUACCACAGCCCCCUCCAGUGACUUCAGACAUUUUAAAUGUCAAAUGUGGCUGAACUCCCUUCUACCCCGGGGAAUUGACAAAGGCAAACACAGGCAUUUGGAGAGGACAACUAUCCAGAAGGGAGUGUUGGUUGGUAAUUCAUCAGUUUAUGUUGUAAAAAUACAAAAAUAAAUAAUUAUAGUUGUCUUUU
Molecule: long non-coding RNA, 579 nt
Filed under: Rattus norvegicus (Norway rat)
Lineage: Eukaryota; Metazoa; Chordata; Mammalia; Rodentia; Muridae
Description: long non-coding RNA NONRATT007032
Source: RNAcentral